This 525-nucleotide long non-coding RNA is filed under the name Homo sapiens (human). RNAcentral describes it as "HSALNT0059519". Lineage: Eukaryota; Metazoa; Chordata; Mammalia; Primates; Hominidae. The record is from RNAcentral.
UUAAUCCUUUUCUUGGAAUGGAAAGAAUCUAUCCUGUAUCACAGUCGCACACUGCUACAGGACGAAUAACCUUUACAGAACCAAAUAUUCAGAAUGUGCCAAGAGAUUUUGAAAUCAAAAUGCCAACACUAGUAGGAGAAAGCCCACCUUCUCAAGCUGUAGGCAAAGGCCUACUUCCCAUGGGCAGAGGAAAAUAUAAGAAGGGUUUCAGCGUGAAUCCUAGAUGCCAGGCACAGAUGGAGGAGAGAGCUGCAGACAGAGGAAUGCCAUUUUCAAUUAGCAUGCGACAUGCCUUUGUGCCUUUCCCAGAUUUGCUAUGGGAUCAUUUAUGGAAUGGGAGCUAAAUCUUUGGGAGAGCAGAUGGGCAUUAAAGAAAAUGAUGCUGCAUGCUAUAUUGACUCCUUCAAAUCCAGAUACACAGGGAUUAAUCAAUUCAUGACAGAGACAGUGAAGAAUUGUAAAAGAGACGGAUUUGUUCAGACCAUUUUGGGAAGGCGUAGAUAUUUGCCAGGAAUCAAAGACAAC